Pan troglodytes (chimpanzee) is the source of this 395-nucleotide long non-coding RNA. RefSeq lists it as uncharacterized. Lineage: Eukaryota; Metazoa; Chordata; Mammalia; Primates; Hominidae. The record is from RefSeq and is a predicted model, not a curated record. The transcript is spliced from 3 exons.
UCUCCAAAAGCUAAAAGGGGCUGCAAACGUUCAUUCACCAAAGCAUUCUCCAGGCUCCUCACCUGACAGAGGACGCCAUCCCUGCUUCUUAAGGUGAGAAGAUUGAGGCCUGGAGGAAUCGCCUGUAAGCCCCAGAUCCCUGGCUGACUGGCAGAGGAGACAGAACUCUGGCUGCAGAGCUCUGGCCAGAAGCAUAGCCUUUAACUGGAGAAAACGAGCCACUGCCGUGUUAUAACGUGGAUGCCAGCGACUGGACAGAGAUGUGAGGAAGGCCCAUGUGUUGGCCACAUUGUCUGCAGAUUUGCCUCCAGAGUAGGCCUCAGUCUAUGCUGUGGGCUGGAUCUGUCAUGACGCUGGUGCUACAUCUAACACAGCCAGAGUGAAUUCAGUUCCAG